Long non-coding RNA from Zophobas morio, 245 nucleotides. RefSeq lists it as uncharacterized. The record is from RefSeq and is a predicted model, not a curated record. The transcript has 2 exons. NCBI's taxonomy places the organism in Eukaryota, Metazoa, Arthropoda, Insecta, Coleoptera, Tenebrionidae.
GUAGGUAUAUACGUCGAAUAACAAGCAAUCGGCGUAUAUAAAAGUAUGCAUUUAAACGUAGUUUGAAACAUGUCCAUGGUGGAGCAAAACUAACAUGCACCCCAACUAUGGGUCUACCUUCGUAAGAAGAACCACCCUUCAGAAGAGUUACUUUAUCAUGAUACUGUUCAGCUAUAGCUCCUAACCAAAUGUUAAUCUAAAACAGCAGUAACAGUAAAUAAUAAUAAAAAUACGUGUCUUACCUC